AUCAGACACCAAUCGCCAUCUAUUAGCAAAUGGUGGGAACAAAAGCUCUUCCGUCUGCACUCAGCAAGCGAUUUAGUAAGGUGCUUGGCUACGUUGUAGAAGACAUUCUCAAAGAAAAGCUCUUCAGUCAGCAAUCAGCAAAAACGAUAUAGUAAGGUGCAUGGCUAUGUCGUUGAAGACAAAAAA
Bradysia coprophila is the source of this 186-nucleotide long non-coding RNA. NCBI's taxonomy places the organism in Eukaryota, Metazoa, Arthropoda, Insecta, Diptera, Sciaridae. The record is from RefSeq and is a predicted model, not a curated record.